AACAGGAUUAGAUACCCUGGUAGUCCACGCCGUAAACGAUGCUAACUCGUUUUUGGGUUUUCGGAUUCAGAGACUAAGCGAAAGUGAUAAGUUAGCCACCUGGGGAGUACGGACGCAAGUCUGAAACUCAAAGGAAUUGACGGGGGCCCGCACAAGCGGUGGAUUAUGUGGUUUAAUUCGAUGAUACGCGAGGAACCUUACCAAGGCUUAAAUGGGAAAUGACAGGUUUAGAAAUAGACUUUUCUUCGGACAUUUUUCAAGGUGCUGCAUGGUUGUCGUCAGCUCGUGCCGUGAGGUGUUAGGUUAAGUCCUGCAACGAGCGCAACCCCUGUCACUAGUUGCCAUCAUUCAGUUGGGGACUCUAGUGAGACUGCCUACGCAAGUAGAGAGGAAGGUGGGGAUGACGUCAAAUCAUCACGGCCCUUACGCCUUGGGCCACACACGUAAUACAAUGGCCAGUACAGAGGGCAGCUACCAGGCGACUGGAUGCGAAUCUCGAAAGCUGGUCUCAGUUCGGAUUGGAGUCUGCAACUCGACUCUAUGAAGCUGAAAUCGCUAGUAAUCGCGCAUCAGCCAUGGCGCGGUGAAUACGUUCCCGGGCCUUGUACACACCGCCCGUCAAGCCAUGGAAGUCUGGGGUACCUGAAGUCGGUGACCGUAACAGGAGCUGCCUAGGGUAAAACAGGUAACUAGGGCUAAGUCGUAACAAGGUAACC
This 716-nucleotide ribosomal RNA is filed under the name uncultured bacterium. RNAcentral describes it as "bacterial SSU rRNA". It matches the Rfam family "Bacterial small subunit ribosomal RNA", at positions 771 to 1501 of the family's 1533-position model. The record is from RNAcentral.